AUACGGAGGGUGCAAGCGUUGUACGGAAUUACUGGGCGUAAAGCGCGUGCAGGCGGUAAGGUAAGUCAGAUGUGAAAGCCCCGGGCUCAACCCGGGAAGUGCAUUUGAUACUGCCUUUCUUGAGUAUGGGAGAGGAGAGUGGAAUUCCCAGUGUAGAGGUGAAAUUCGUAGAUAUUGGGAGGAACACCCGUGGCGAAGGCGACUCUCUGGACCAAUACUGACGCUGUGACGCGAAAGCGUGGGGAGCGAACAGGAUUAGAAACCCCUGUAGUCC
This 274-nucleotide ribosomal RNA is filed under the name uncultured bacterium. Its description in RNAcentral is "partial 16S ribosomal RNA". It matches the Rfam family "Bacterial small subunit ribosomal RNA", at positions 523 to 796 of the family's 1533-position model. The record is from RNAcentral.